Molecule: ribosomal RNA, 915 nt
Filed under: uncultured Anaerovibrio sp.
Lineage: Bacteria; Bacillati; Bacillota; Negativicutes; Selenomonadales; Selenomonadaceae
Description: bacterial SSU rRNA
Rfam family: Bacterial small subunit ribosomal RNA
Source: RNAcentral
AGAGUUUGAUCAUGGCUCAGGACGAACGCUGGCGGCGUGCCUAACACAUGCAAGUCGAACGGAGAAUCAGCAAUGAUUCUUAGUGGCGAACGGGUGAGUAACGCGUAGACAACCUGCCUUCUAGAUGGGGACAACACUGCGAAAGUGGUGCUAAUACCGAAUGUUGUAAUGAGCCUGCAUGGGCUUAAUACUAAAGGUGGCCUCUAUAUAUAAGCUAUCACUAGAAGAUGGGGCUGCGUCUGAUUAGCUAGUUGGUGAGGUAAUGGCUCACCAAGGCGAUGAUCAGUAGCCGGUCUGAGAGGAUGAACGGCCACACUGGGACUGAGACACGGCCCAGACUCCUACGGGAGGCAGCAGUGGGGAAUCUUCCGCAAUGGACGAAAGUCUGACGGAGCAACGCCGCGUGAGUGAAGAAGGUUUUCGGAUCGUAAAGCUCUGUCUUUGAGGACGAAUGUAUUUAAUGUGAAUAAUGUUAAGUAAUGAUGGUACUCGAGGAGGAAGCCACGGCUAACUACGUGCCAGCAGCCGCGGUAAUACGUAGGUGGCAAGCGUUGUCCGGAAUUAUUGGGCGUAAAGCGCGCGCAGGCGGGGAUAUUAAGUCUGUUUUAAAAGUUCGGGGCUCAACCCCGUGAUGGAAUGGAAACUAAUAUUCUUGAGUGCAGGAGAGGAAAGUGGAAUUCCCAGUGUAGCGGUGAAAUGCGUAGAUAUUGGGAGGAACACCAGUGGNGAAGGCGACUUUCUGGACUGUGUCUGACGCUGAGGCGCGAAAGCCAGGGGAGUGAACGGGAAUUANNUACCCCGGUAAUCCUGGCCGUAAACNAUGGGUACUAGGUGUAGGNGNAUCNACCCCUUUCUGUGNCCGGAGUUACCGCAAUAAGUACGCCGCCUUGGGGAGUACCNACCGCAGGUUUGAAA